RNAcentral lists this ribosomal RNA (1225 nucleotides) under Bacillus sp. RIC12-Oh012. RNAcentral's name for it is "bacterial SSU rRNA". It matches the Rfam family "Bacterial small subunit ribosomal RNA", at positions 130 to 1341 of the family's 1533-position model. Lineage: Bacteria; Bacillati; Bacillota; Bacilli; Caryophanales; Bacillaceae. The record is from RNAcentral.
CUGUAAGACUGGGAUAACUCCGGGAAACCGGAGCUAAUACCGGAUAGUUCCUUGAACCGCAUGGUUCAAGGAUGAAAGACGGUUUCGGCUGUCACUUACAGAUGGACCCGCGGCGCAUUAGCUAGUUGGUGAGGUAACGGCUCACCAAGGCGACGAUGCGUAGCCGACCUGAGAGGGUGAUCGGCCACACUGGGACUGAGACACGGCCCAGACUCCUACGGGAGGCAGCAGUAGGGAAUCUUCCGCAAUGGACGAAAGUCUGACGGAGCAACGCCGCGUGAGUGAUGAAGGUUUUCGGAUCGUAAAGCUCUGUUGUUAGGGAAGAACAAGUGCAAGAGUAACUGCUUGCACCUUGACGGUACCUAACCAGAAAGCCACGGCUAACUACGUGCCAGCAGCCGCGGUAAUACGUAGGUGGCAAGCGUUGUCCGGAAUUAUUGGGCGUAAAGGGCUCGCAGGCGGUUUCUUAAGUCUGAUGUGAAAGCCCCCGGCUCAACCGGGGAGGGUCAUUGGAAACUGGGAAACUUGAGUGCAGAAGAGGAGAGUGGAAUUCCACGUGUAGCGGUGAAAUGCGUAGAGAUGUGGAGGAACACCAGUGGCGAAGGCGACUCUCUGGUCUGUAACUGACGCUGAGGAGCGAAAGCGUGGGGAGCGAACAGGAUUAGAUACCCUGGUAGUCCACGCCGUAAACGAUGAGUGCUAAGUGUUAGGGGGUUUCCGCCCCUUAGUGCUGCAGCUAACGCAUUAAGCACUCCGCCUGGGGGAGUACGGUCGCAAGACUGAAACUCAAAGGAAUUGACGGGGGCCCGCACAAGCGGUGGAGCAUGUGGUUUAAUUCGAAGCAACGCGAAGAACCUUACCAGGUCUUGACAUCCUCUGACAACCCUAGAGAUAGGGCUUUCCCUUCGGGGACAGAGUGACAGGUGGUGCAUGGUUGUCGUCAGCUCGUGUCGUGAGAUGUUGGGUUAAGUCCCGCAACGAGCGCAACCCUUGAUCUUAGUUGCCAGCAUUCAGUUGGGCACUCUAAGGUGACUGCCGGUGACAAACCGGAGGAAGGUGGGGAUGACGUCAAAUCAUCAUGCCCCUUAUGACCUGGGCUACACACGUGCUACAAUGGACAGAACAAAGGGCUGCGAGACCGCAAGGUUUAGCCAAUCCCACAAAUCUGUUCUCAGUUCGGAUCGCAGUCUGCAACUCGACUGCGUGAAGCUGGAAUCGCUAGUAA